AACAACAACAAAAACAACAACAACACCAACACCACCACCACCAACAAUAAUAAUAAUAACAAUAACAAUAAGAAAGUGAACAACAACAACAACAACAACAACAACAACAACAACAACAACAACAACAACCACAACAACAACGACAACGACAACGACAACGACAACGACGACAACAACAACAACAACCACAACAACAACAACAACAACAACAACAACAACAACAACAACAACAACAACCACAACAACGACGACGAC
RNAcentral lists this long non-coding RNA (255 nucleotides) under Hordeum vulgare. Its description in RNAcentral is "long non-coding RNA (HVUL_LNC019138)". Lineage: Eukaryota; Viridiplantae; Streptophyta; Magnoliopsida; Poales; Poaceae. The record is from RNAcentral.